CUCUCUCUCUCUCUCUCUCUCUCUUUUAAUGUAGAGAAGAGAGACCACAU
RNAcentral lists this small RNA (50 nucleotides) under Brugia malayi. Its description in RNAcentral is "RNA transcript Bm16728". The record is from RNAcentral. Lineage: Eukaryota; Metazoa; Nematoda; Chromadorea; Rhabditida; Onchocercidae.